AAGUCGUAACAAGGUUUCCGUAGGUGAACCUGCGGAAGGAUCAUUAACACGUAUCCAAACGUUAAACAACCCCGUGAACAUACAACCUGCUCUGGUCGCCCGCUCGCAUGGACAAGCCCAGUAAAUCAAGCCCCGGAAAGUUUUUGAUUUGGGACCUCUGUGCGCGUGAGAAAAACUGACAGCGAUUCAUAGAAGCGGUAGGUCAAGUGACACGGCGUCCCCAAGUGACCAGUGAAUGAAAGUGUCAGCUCUCUGUCAGCUGAACGAAUCCAGACUGCUUUCGAACUAAGCUUCUUGCCUGUAAGCAUCCAUACGGAUGGGCAGGCCCCCCGAACAACUGUUAACAAUGGAUAUCUUGGUUCUC
Molecule: unclassified non-coding RNA, 364 nt
Filed under: fungal sp.
Lineage: Eukaryota; Fungi
Description: partial internal transcribed spacer region
Rfam family: Eukaryotic small subunit ribosomal RNA (bases 1-46)
Source: RNAcentral